UUUGAAGGUGCAGCAGUGUCAAUCUUAACCUGCUUCUUCUGCUUCUUGGCUUCAGGUUUGCCUUGAAAAGGAAGAACAAAAAUACAUUGUCAAGGGUCAACUCUCAAUUUCCCCUGAUGUCCCAUCCAAGAGAGGUGUGCAAAUGCAUUAAGGAAGCACGAACUAGAAGCAGAGGAGAAAUGUGCAUACCAUUUUCCUUGGUGAGUGCUGGAAUGAUCUUGUCUUCCUCCUCCUCCUCCUCCUCCUCCUCAGACUCAUCCUCGGAAUCAAAAUCCAUUGUGGAAGCAGGGGAAAAGGCAGGUCAAGGAAACAAGACUCAAGUAGCAUAGUACUCCACAAGACAUGUAUAUGUGUACUACUUAAAAAUUGUUAUAGGGCACACUAAACUUUUUGGGAGGAUCAGUUUCUCUAGCUAGGCAAUAAGCAUCUGUAAUGGUUUGUGGUUUGUGAGUUGUGACUUGGAAUUUAAUCCCCUCUCUUAGUCCAUUAACAUAACACCUGACAAACCAGAGUUGAGGUGUUUCUUCCUGAAUUUAUGCCAUCAAAUCCUCAAAGUCUCUAGUGUAAUCUGCCACAGACAGUUGCCCUUGUUUAAUACAGUAGCAUUGAGCUUGUCAGUUAAAUCAUAAGAUCCCUGAGUGGAAAAUCUUGUGUAUGAAGUGAUGGAGAUUUAUCCUUUGCCCCUCCAUCAUGUCCCUCUGUCCCUUGGUCUUCGGUUGUUGGUGUUCUCGGUCUUGACGCAGACGCAUUGGUGGUCGCCCGGGAGGUGAUCUAUGCUGGAUGGAGCCACGUCCUCGCGGUUUCCUCCGGCUCGGCCUACGGUAUGUAAUCGAUCUCUGCCGCCCUUGAUGCAUUGAUUUGGGUCACAGUCUCCGCCUAGGGAGGGGUUUUGAUCCUUGUGAAAGUGAGAUAAAAAGUCUGGCUUUUGGGGGCGUGCGUAUGGUUCACAAUCUGUUAUCACCUUUGUGCUAUGUUCAUAUGUACAACUCUAGUUAGUUUUGAUUUCCCUGUGGUACUGUCUGCCCAUGAUGCGAAGAAAAAUGUUUUUGUUUUGGUUCAGACUGAAUGGUCCCUCUUGAUUGUAGUUGAAGAUCCGCAUCGGUAGUAAUAAGUGCGAGAAACACACAAGAUGUGUUGGCUGUCAUAUAGGUUGAGAAAUUAACAAUUUCAGACUAGUUUCAGAUUUGGAACAGUGUGUGUGUGUGUGUGUGUGUGUGUGUGUGUGUGUGUGUGUGUAUGGUUUGUGACUUGAUUUGGAACAGAGUUUCAGAGUUUGUUGUAUGGUUAGUCAGCGGCUACAUUUGUUCAUGGUACAGAUUGAUUGCAUGCAUGCAUGCAUGCUAGUAUAAAGAAAGAAAGAAAGAAAGAAUUGCUCAGCUUGUAUAGAGUUUCAGAGUUUGUUGCUAUGCUAUAAAGAAAGAAAUAUAGUGUUUGUUCAUGGUACAAAUUUCAUGCUGAUGCGUCGUAAAGAAAUAUGGUGUUUGUUCAUGGUACAAAUUUCAUGCUGAUGCGUCGUAAAGCUGGUACAGAUUACAUUUUCUUUAACAGAAAUGUCAGGAGAGAUUUGUUUCUAGUUGAUGCAAGGGAGGGACUCCAUUCCUGAGAGAGACAAGAUCAAGUACUAGUGCUGCAUCUACCUAACCUAACCUAGCCUAGCCUAGCCUAGCCUAGGAGGAAAAGGCUCUACUAGAUCUAGAUGAGGUGUAUCCUUGUGAUGAGCUACAUACUUGUAGUUGGCUCACAAACAGAUGUGCACAUAAUGCUUGGUGUGUUUGUUUAUUGUCAACGAGGUGCACAUUCUUGUUUCAUGAUUGAUCCUGGCAUUUUUCAACUAGGAUUCCUUGCAAAUCUCUUCACUUCUUUCAGUGUCGUACAUUCUUGUUUCUGCUCUACCAUGGCUACACGUGAUGGGGGCAUAAAUGGAUUCAAAUAUUUACAAGCAUUUAUCAAAUGUACUAUUUAAUUUAAUCUUUAGAAAAUCUAGUUUUUGCUACCAUUAGACAGGAUUAACUAGGGAAAUCUAUCAUCUAUAACUUGUUGCAUUUUUAUGCAUAUCUCAGCAGCAAAAGACUUUCUCUAACAUUUCACCUCAACAUCAAACAACUGCAGCAACCCACUUCAAAAACACCAAGAAACAAGCCAAAAAAUAUGUCCAAAACCACACAGGAUUCAUUCAAAACCAUGAUGACCAUAGCAUUCCACCAUCCAAUUCCAAUUCCAAUUCCGAAUCACAGCGGCUUUUUUGUUUGAUUCAACAACCAACGCAUCAUCACUAACAGCUCAACGGUUUCUCCCUUCCCUUCCCUCAGGAUCAGGCUAGCUAGGUAGGUAGGGAACACGACAACACAAGGAUAGAUAGCCUAACACAGCAGCAUAACGAUAAUAAUCUCAUAGGACAGACAGAUCAAAAUAAUAGUAACUGGAGCCAGCCAGCCAGCCAACAUCUUCCUCUCCUCUUCACUUGGCCUCGUGCUUGGCCUUGGAGUGCGAAGCUAGAGCG
Molecule: long non-coding RNA, 2500 nt
Filed under: Triticum aestivum (bread wheat)
Lineage: Eukaryota; Viridiplantae; Streptophyta; Magnoliopsida; Poales; Poaceae
Description: long non-coding RNA (TAES_LNC019902)
Source: RNAcentral